UGCAGAUGAUGUUUAUUCUCACGAUGGUCUUCCUAGACUCUUAAGAGAGCUCUGAGGAUACUGCCUAUGGCAACACUGAUGCAGUAGA
Small nucleolar RNA from Myxocyprinus asiaticus (Chinese sucker), 88 nucleotides. RefSeq annotates it as small nucleolar RNA SNORD35. The transcript has a single exon. NCBI's taxonomy places the organism in Eukaryota, Metazoa, Chordata, Actinopteri, Cypriniformes, Catostomidae. The record is from RefSeq and is a predicted model, not a curated record.